This 257-nucleotide unclassified non-coding RNA is filed under the name uncultured fungus. Its description in RNAcentral is "sequence contains ITS1". Lineage: Eukaryota; Fungi. The record is from RNAcentral.
GUAUUUUAUUAACUUUUCUAUAUUUCAACAUUCUAAACACAUUCAAGAGGUUGUGAAAAAUGAACAUAGACCUUCAAGGGGAAAGCCGACUUCUUUUGAAGCACAGCAGUCCCCACUCGGAACAAAUCCAGGGUCUACAAUAUGUGCACAGUUGGGAGAAAUGAUAAAGAUGACAAGCGUGCACAUUGUCCUGGGACCAGCAACAGCCUGUUCAAGUUUAUUCGAUAAUGAUCCUUCCGCAGGUUCACCUACGGAAA